CAACAUUUUACAUGUUCGAUUUUGUACAACUUUGAUAAACACAUCAAUCCGAUAGCUCUUGGGUUUUCUAUAAUGUGUGGAUAGUGAUUUUUGUCAUGAAAACUAGAUAAAACUUAGUAUGAGAUGGGUUUUCUUCUUUUUCAGGGACUGUUCGGCUGCCUUAUCAACAAUAUGGAACAAAGUGAGAUGCAAUUAUGAUUGCUGAUGGCACCAAUAUACAACAACAAAAAAACAGGAAAAAAAGAUAUAAAGAACUACAGGUAAUACUCCUUUACAAAACUAGAAACAUAUCCAAAAUGCAUAAUACUAGAUACUGUAAAUUCAGAAAUUAUUGUGUGCAUUUAUUAUUGAAAAAUAUAUAGACAGAUAUGCGAGAUUCAUUUUUGCAAUUUCAAGAAAAACUUCAUUACAGAUCAAUGUUUCAGAUAUAUGGCUUAUUGUUAAAGGAUUUACAGUGAUCUAGAAUUGCUUUUAUCCUCCUCAUUUGAACAAGGUGUAUGUCAGUUUCAUUGGUAUUCAUACCACACACCACACCUCCUUGUUUUGUAGGACCAAGUGUCAUGGAAUAGAAGUUCCUUCACAAUAUAACUUCCAAAAGGAAUAAAUAUUACAGUAUAUGUUCCUAACAGAAUAAAUGGUAUAGAAUAUUUGUUCCAUCAGGAAUAGGUAUAAGCUACAAAACAAAUUUCUUCAUAAAAUUAUGAUUUAUGAUAAUCCAAAUUGUAAAUUUUGUAAUAGAGAAAUUGAAACAUUAGAACAUUUAUUUUGGGAAUGUGAAAAUACACAAUUAUUAUUAGAACAGAUUGAAAAUUGGUUUCUAACCAAUGGAAUUAGUGUACUUUUUACAAAAUUAGUUUUUUUGUUUGGUAACACUGCAAAAAUAUCAAAAGGCAAUGCAGAAAAUACUCUUUUUCUUACCAUAAAGCAAUAUAUUUAUAAUUCCAGAUGUUUUAAAAAAAAACUGACGAUAAACUCAGUAAAAGAAAAGAUGAAAUAUGUGUAUGCAAUGGACAAAAAUAUUGCUAUGAAAAACAAAUGUGAACAUCAGUUUCUCAGAGAAUGGAAUGCUUUUGAUAUAUUACUUAGUUAAGUACAAAAAUGUAUAUACUUUACAUUUAAUAUUAUACAUGUUAUAAAUGAAAAUGCUGUAUUUACUAUACUAAAAUAGAAUUCAAUUUCUAGAUGAAUUAUAUUGAAAACUCACCACACUAUUCUCUCUCACUCUCUUUCUCUUUCUAUCUCUCUCUCUCUCCAUUGUUCAAACUGCUUUACUCUUUAUCUUAUAUUUGUAUAUUUAAAAAAAAAAAAAAAUUGCUUCCUAAUAGAAAGAUGUAUUGAUUAGAUAAUAUCUAUGGAUUUAUAUAUUAUAUAUUGCUAUUAUAUUUGUGUAUAUUAUGUUAUAAAUUGAAAGUUAUAAAUAAUAGAAAUUAAAAAAAAAAAAAAAAAGGAAUAGGUAUUAUGACAUUGUUUAUAUCAAAGUUUCCAGUGGAACUUCUGUUAGGCGGAACAAAUAUACGUUGACAACUUGACCUCUUUGGUAUGACCAAACAUUGUUACCCAUCACUAUUUCUUUCACUCUGUUUUGAAUGCCAGUCCUACAUCAAUCACUGUGCUUUGAUUACAUCAAUAACAUAGGAUCCUUUUUCUGCAGAAAAAAAUAACUCAUACUCCUUGAUAUAACAUAAACACAUUUUAAAAGCUGUAGUUUUGAAAAAAGAAAAAAAGUCAUUUGCAUCCUAUUUGUAUUAUCUUAAAAAAGAUGAAAAUAUAUUAAAAUGCCUGGUGAGCAAUUCAAGCUAUAAGGGAGCCUCUAGUUAUUAUAACUGGCAUGUGUUCAAAUAGUACAUUGAGAUUUUGAACAUUAGAUAAAAAGUAAUCCAUUGUAAUGUCUACUGUUAGUUAUAUGAAAUAUCACUUUCAAAUUUGUGAAACAUUAAGUUAUGAAUUAUUUUUUUCAGUUUAAAUUAACAUUAAUAAAAGAAAAAAAUAAUUGAGUUGUUUUUUUAUCUUGCUUUCAGAAUAUGUGUACUCAGAGGAAUGGCUCAACAGCAGAAUGUAGUGAUGUUGUUAUCAUGGCUUGACAAUAUUUUAUACAGGUAUGUUAUUUCAUCUUACACCUUGUAAAAGUAGCUUUUGUGUUAAUUUGAGAUUAAACCAGGUGUUGUUGGCAUUUUAGACAAAUUUGAUUGACUUGAGUAUAGUUUUAUUUCCAAACUGAAAAAUAUAUGAGUUCUGUUAAGACAUAUUACCAGAUAAAAUGGAGUUAUCUCCCAUUAGCUGUUAUAAAUUUUGACCUUUUCACAGUAUCUUCUUGAUAAUGUUGCAACAUUCUGUUUUAAUGAAGUUUUAAAGGAUCAUUAGACAAAGGCCUAUCUUUCUGUGUAGUAUGUUUUGUUUGAUUUACAGAAACAUAAAAAAAUGUAUACUGUGUAUUUUCUUGUUGAAAUGUCAAUCAUAAAGGAGAAGGCCUGGUAGGACUUAAGCUCCAAAAUAUAGCAUUUUUAUAAUUACUUUAAUAUGUAAACUUUUAGGAGAUAACUGUAUUGUAUUUUAAGCUCCGACGACAUCAAUUGGGGAUUUGAUGGUCGCAAAUUAAGUUUACUGGCGACGCGUUAGUGGAGACAGUAAACGGGUAUUUGCGACCAUCAAAUCCCAUAUUGAUGCCGUCGGAGCUUAAAAUACAAUAUUGUUAUCUCCAUUCUAAUGAAACUGACAGAAAACAACGUUAAAACAUGUAUUUAAAUCUGUCAUAUGCCGUCUGCGCUUGCGCGUACGUCCCAUAGCAUCAAUUGUCAAUUGAUGCCAUGUAAGAAAGUGACGUUAUCCAAUCAAAAUGAACGUUACAAACGUUGUUGCAUUAGAAUUAGCUAUUUAUUGGAAAGUAAAAUACUUGUGUUUCAUAAAUAUGAGCUGUUUUUGACAAUACAAUGCACAGGCAUAAGGUAAUAACAUUAUAAAUUCAUGCAAUAUUACUGAAUCUUCACAAUUUGAGCAUUUAAUGCAGUUUUUGUCUUAAAUGGAAUAUCUGUUGUAUUUGGUGGUGAUACAUAACAUAUAUAAAGGUUGAGAGUGAACAUGAAUGCGACCACUUGCAUUUUAGACCAAAAAAAAAACAUGUGAAAAGUGAUGUUUUAUGGCAUAUUUGAGAGAUUUUUCAUUUUAAAGUUUGAAUUUGAGCAUCUUUAAUGAACCUGCUCCUUUUCACUGAUCCUUUCUGACUUUGUGUUAUUUAAUGCUGAAUUGAAUCAAAAUUGAGCAAAAAAAACUUCAAUCAGAAUCAAAUGUCAAUAUUUCUCAAUUUUUUUAAUGGGAGAUAUUUAUAUUGAAUUAUAUUACUGCAAAUCAACUUAUUCUUUCAACUUUUUGUAUUAAAAUAUCAAGAUUUGUUACUAUUAUGGGUUUUAAGCUUUAGCACCACAGAUGUUAAAAAAAUCUGUUUAACUUUUGCAACCAUAUUCAUUCUUAUAAUUUUUUGAAUAUGAAAAUUCCCAAUGAAGGAGAAAAGAUUUUCCCAUGACUUGAUAGUAGACAAUGCCAUUAUAAAUGAGUUACAAACCUAUGAAUAAACUUAGGAAUUACCAGUAUUUACUAUUAGAUGAAGAACAGCAAGACUUUCUUUGAUAAAUGGCUUUUGCAUCUAGCAUAGAUAUGAAUAUCCAGAAAGUUGGUCCAUGUACAUAGAUAAUCAUUUACUCAAAUGGUUGCACUAUAUAAAUAUUUACUCUAGAUCAAAUUACUAAUUUUAAGUAAUUAGGGUAUAAAUACUUUAUAAAAUAAUAUUAAUAAUUGAAGACAACAUGUUAUAGAAAGAAAUGUAGUAUACUUUGUGAUGGAUGCUAUUGAUUUAACUGGAGGUGACAAAUUUAACAUGACUAAUGAAAUUUCUUGUUAUAAUUAUUUUUAAAUUAGAUGGUGUCUAUAUCAUUUUAUUUAUUUAAAAAUAUUUAAUUGAAAUAUUUGAGCUCUUUUUUAAUUUUCUUUGUAAUGUGUUUAAUUGUUUGUGUCAAACGAACAUUGAAUGCAAAAAAUGUGGGGGAUAUCCAUGUGAUCAUAUUGAUUGAGAUAUAUAAAUAUGAUCUGAACAAUAGUGUAACUUACAUGUAAAGUGAUAUCAGUUAAUUACCCAUCAUUUAAUUACCACCACCACGGAGCAUAUCUUUGGUACAGAAUAUUAAUUUCAUACAGAAAAAUGAUUAGCAAUGCAAGAUCUACAAAAAUGUCAAUAUGACUGACAUCAUAAAUUGAUUCCAUGAAGGAGUUUUAAUCUUUAAAGGAUGAUUUAUUUUUUUAUUUUAGCAUAUAUUUUCUUUUAUCUUUAGAAUUAUUGCAUAUGGCAGAAAUAAUUAUUUGAUGCCUUCAGUACAAGAUGUUCAGAAAUUUGGUGCAUGCAUUUAUUAUUAUGAUUCUUGACCAUUUGAUAGACAAAAUUAUAUUAGUUAUAAACAAGUUUUAUUUUGUUGCAGAACCUAUCCUAAUGCAAGUUUUGCAAUAAUAAAAAGAUUGCUAAGUUUAAUAUAAACCUAUUUUAGCAUUUUGAAAACAAUAAACAAUAAAAGUGAAUAGCAAAAUAAGAUGAACAAAAUGCUAAUACAGUAAAUCCACAUGUAUGAUCCAGUGAAACCAUUUUUUUUUUCCAUUUAUGAAUGAAAAUUGUUUCUAUACACUGAAACCUUUCUAAAUUUUGUAAUAAUACAUAACUGAUAGAUUAACAUGAUACAAUUUCUUAAGUUUUUGUCAAAUGGUGCUUUAACAAAGGGUUCUUACUCUGUAAUUACUGGGUCAGUUCAGAUCAAAUAUUGAUGAAAUGAUACUUUGAUCAUAUUUUUAAAAAUUGAUAAAAUUGAUAAUUAAUAGCUUAGUUUAUACAAAAGAAAUACUUCUAAGGAUUAUGCAUUUAGAAGGUAACCUACUGACCUCACCUAAAAUUGAAUACAGCUGCAGUUUACAGAAAAAACUAAAGAAAAAUGAAAUUUUUUAAACACUAACAAUUUUAUUGAUCAAAAGAAAGACCUGGUCAGUUGGAUAACAAUAUAGUUCCAUGGCAGGGCCGUAACUACAUUGAGGCAAAUGCCUCAUGUUAGAAAUUUCAAAAAAAAAAAAAAAAAACUGAAACAAAAGAUUGUCUUCAUAUCAAAUUGUUUUCACAAAUUGUCUUGCAAGAAGCAAGUUCUCUUCACUCUCUGGUGUCGCCCAUGCAUGUUUUUCGUUAUCCAUGUUUCUAUUUUCCUUUUAGUUUUCAUAGUUGAUGGUCUAUUGUUUGUACUUCUGUGUCCCGGGUUUGUCUUUUGUUCAUUUAUUGUCCAACUUUAUGACUAUAGUCUGAGCAGUACUAGUACUUAAAGUAUAAUACUGAACUUUCACUACAUUUAAAUCUAGUCAUAAAAAAUCACCAAAGUCUAAGCACAAUACAAGAUGAGAACAGACAGAGAGAUCCAGUAUAAAUAAUUAUGAGAAUUACGAUUUUAGCUUUAUCCUACAUAUCCGUCUUUUAAUGUUGUCUCUAGAACCUAAAAGUCUUAAAUUACAAUGAAUCUAUGUUUUUGUUUUGGGACCAGAAUAUCGUUGAAAAAAAAGAGCUAAAAAUCAAUUAAUCGGUUUCAAUGCAAGAAAGAGUCUGGGAAACGCUCAGAAUGCAUGAUUUUGCGUUAUUUUUAUCAGAGCUUCAGGGCUUGAAUGGCCCCCAGACCCAACGCCAAAAAAUAUAUUUUGCCUCACUAGUAAAAGAGGCUAGUUACGGCCCUGCAUGGAAAAAAAUUGAAUGACUCCCAUCCCCAGUAAAAAUUUUACUUGUAAAAAUUUCAGACUUGACCCCCACCCCAACUUGCUCUUUUCAAAUUUCCUGAUACCUGCACCUGUUGUGAUUAUUGAUCUUGAAGGUUUUUUCAUUUAUUCCUUGUUUUACUUCUAUUUCUGUCAGUUUUAUGUAAAACAAAGGGUGUUGCAUGACUUGCAUACUAAUUUAUUCCCCUUCCCUAUAUGGAAGAUAUUAUCAGAUUUACCUGACAGUGCUAUAAUAGUUACUGGACAGAAAUUUGUUGGUCAAAUUUGACCAGAAGAAUAAAAAAAUUCAAAGGUUUAAAAAGUCAGGACGGAACAAAAAUUCCUGGUGAAAUGCCAUAAAAAUUUGUCUUCAAUUUCAUGCGUGAGCCAUCAAAGGGAUCAGUUUACAAUUGAAAUUUAAAUCCUAUACUUAAGUCUUUAAAAAUUGACUUAACCUAGCUGUUCAUAUAAAUAUCUUACUUCAUACAUUGUUCAGAUUGUUAGAUAUAUUUUGUCAACAUUUUUAAUACAUUUAUGCCUGAUUACUUCAGGUAUUUGUUCUAAAAUCCACUUUCUGUGGAUUAAAUGUUCAACACCUUCUUGAGGAUUAUGAUUCUUAUCCCCAGAUAAUAUCUCAGUAGAAGUGUGUAUUUAUUCGACUUUCUUUAUCACCAAUCAUGAUCUGUUAAAAUUUUAGAGACAAUAUGUAUUUAUUACACCUUUUGAGUGAAAAAGAUUAUCUAAAUAUUUGAAUUAGUUUGAGGAUUGAAAAUGAAUUAUCAUCAAAAUCAAAAUGUGAAAAUCAUUUAUAUAUCCAAAGAGAAUUUAAUUUUUAUUACAUGAACGAUAACUUGGGGGAAAUCAGAAAGUAGGGGGAAUGAAAGAUUAAUCUAUACAAAUGUGCAUUCAUUUCAAAUUUACUUCAGUAACAGAAAUUAGAUAGUUCAUGCAGCCCUUGUCACUUUUUAUGCUCAUCAUUCAAGGCCGUAACUAGGCCUCUUCUUUUAGUGAGGCAAAAUAAUUGAGCCGAGCGAAAGCGAGGCGAAAUUUUUUUUGGAGGGUAUGAAAUCCAUGGUGCAAAAUCCUGCAUUCCAGCCAUUUUUAGACAGUUUGAUAAUGUUUUGAAUUUGGACACUUUUUAUAUAAAUUUUUCAUAUUUUAAGACUUUUACUAACACCAAAUUUUUAACAACUUUAUUUAAAUUUAUAUGUAAGAUUAUCAUCCAAAUAUCACUGAUUUGAGUCUGCUGCCAGAACAUAGAACAAACAUCGAUUCAGUAGACUUUGCCAAAUUUUUCUAUGGCCGGUUCAGUCAAAUCGUUUAAGAAUCAUAAUUUAGUCUGCUGAUAUCCUUAUCGCGAUGAACAUGGAGCAUGUGGCAAGACCGCACACUCUCUCGCCACUCAUGCAUGCUCUUUUCCAAGUUUUCAGUCGUUUCAGGGCAGUCUGUGUUUCUAAAGGUAGCACAUUAUCAUCAACACAAUGAUCAAUGUCUUCUUCCAAUUCCUUCUCCAUCAGCAAUUCGGUAGCAGCAUCGGUAGUAACAGUUUUGUUUUCAAAAGGGAAUUAAGCUUUCCUCUAAGCACCAUCAUACAGUCGCAGUUACAAAACAUUAAAUUCGCUUUUAUGCUGACAAAGAGUAGACAAACUAGGGAUAGAAUGAGAUUAGAUAAAUGUAUAUGAUUCUAUCUAUAGAGUAUAUAUAUAUAUGAUAUGGGUACAGGGGAAUGGGAAUGGAGUUUUUGACAUUUACAUGUAGGUCCGUAAUUUCAAAUUAUUUCUGGAAAUAGUUGGUGGUAUUUUAGUUCCAGAAUCUAUAAAUUAAGGGGUUAGGGGUUGGGGUGUCAGAUUCCGAAACCCCGAAUAUAAAGAAAUUAAAUUCCGUAGUCCCGAAUAAGUAAAGACAAAAUCCUGUGUUAAAGGUUCUACCAUUCCUCAAUAAUAUCAUGGGAUAUUCUUUCAAUUUUUAAGGUUAAAGAAACAUGGAUAAAAACUAAUCCAUGAAUGUUUCAAAUUAUUUAUAUUUUAUUUAUCUGUAAAGAGAAAGAUUAAAGUUCGUGAAAUGAAUACGCAGACAGGACUGCCCCCUUGCGAUGCCCAGUACUUGAUUUGUCAAAAGUUGGUGAAACGGAGAAAUGAAUACGCAGACAGGACUGCCCCUUCCGAAGACCAGUUCUUGAUUUGUCAGUCUAUACUUAUCGUUUUUGAAUUGUUCUAAUGAAGUUAUAUGCAAUACUCAGACUCUGUUCACAAAAAAAAACUAGUUUACUAGAAUUAUUCCUACUUUACCUUCAGUGUCGCUUUUCCUUUUUCUGCAAGAGCCUGUUUUUAACUAGAGAUCCAUGAUGAUUAUCGUUACUAAGUUAAUGUUAUCGAGAAAUAUCACCCGUCGAGAUGCUGAGUUAUAUCCAGGAAAAAUAGUUUAAAAGAAAUGAUGACUAAGUUAUAGAAAUUAAGGUUGAGACAGAACAACAAAUGACUAUUAUAUUUAUAUAUAUAUGUAUAAAAAAAAUGAUCAGUGUCCAAAUUUUAGUGAGGCAAUUGCCUCACUUGCCUCAAGGGUAGUUACGGCCUUGUCAUUGAGACCUAUGAUGGCAUACUGUUAACUGUUUGUCCACCUGUUUGUUCAUUCACAUGUCUUACCAAUAUCAGAAGAAGAUUUUAUUUAAGUUAAUAUUUCACAAAUAGUGCACCUUCUCCAGACCAUAGAUGUAAUAGACAGUACAUGUAUUACAUCUAUGUCCAGUGAUAUAUUGUCAAGAUUUUACAUCAUUGUUGGGAAUUGAUAAAAGAUCGCUCACUUGUGAUUUUGAAAGUUUCCUUGUUUGUUGUUCCAAAGUCACUGAACAUUACCUGUCAGGUUUAAGUAAGUUUUUUUUACGUAUUGUACCAUGAAUUGUGUAUGCUUGGAUUGGUUUACCAAAAACUUUCUGCAUUUGUUGGAAUUUAAGAUAUCAUUACAGCUUUGUCAUCUCAGCAUUAUAUAUUUAUAUGAAUUUGAAAAUAAUGUUAAAGCAAUUGUUUACCAGUAUCCUGAUUUGUCUUGAUGAAAUUAUUUUAAACUUUACAUUUCCAUAUGUUUUGUGGUGAAAUGAUCCUUUUUAUAUCUUGCUAAAUUUGAAAUUUCAACAGUGAAUUGAAUGAUAUAAAUUUUAUAUUCUCAUACUUCUGUUGUCAACAUAAAUUUAACCUCUAAUAUCACUAUUUGUGUGGAUUAUUGGACAUGACAAAGGUACCUAUAAAAUUUUGACCACAAUAGAAAACUGACGCCACAAAGAAAAGUGGUGGUUUUAUGACAUUAAGAAUUUAAGUGUCCUAGAUUCCCAAAUAUCAAUAAGAUCUAUUGAGGUUUAAAGUCUGUGGUUCAUGCAGGAGCUCCUUGGGAUUACAAGACUGCAUCCAGAUACUUUUUCUUUCAUUUAUCUGUGAUUUACUGAUAAAUGGACUUGCUGGAUUAGUAUAGACUGAAGUAUUGAAUGAUCUUCUUUACUUUUGAUCUGUCUACUUGAGAGACCAUAUUAUUUCAUCUGUGAAAUAUUACUACACUGAAGAGCAAUUAAGUGGCCAAUUUCUUUAAUCAAGAGCUGACCAAGGUUAUAUUGACCAUUGUCCAGAACCACUUAACACCUUUAUAUCAGUAAUUUAUAUUAUUUAGCUACUUUUACUAAAUGUUCCUUUUAUGUUUCUUCUGAUUUACAUGUUAUACUUGAUAUGUUAUUUCACAAUGUCAUGAUGACUAUAUAAGAGGUUUAAACAGUUUGAAUCAUUCCUUAAGAGUUCUUAUUAGGAUUAUACUUAUCAUUGGUCAUAUUGACCACAAAGUGACCUGUUUCUCCUUCAUCUAUGCCUAACAUAACAAAAAUUACCGUUAUAAGAAAUUUUUAAAAGUCCAUAGGUAUAGAAUUAGGGUCAUAAAGUAAAUCGAAUAUCAGUAGCCAAACAAAAUGAAGAUCAUGUAUAUUUAUAUAAAAACACCAGACUUAAGUAAAAUGCUGCUUUGAUAUACAUGUAUACUUGUCAUGUAAUUAUUUUUUAUAAGCCAGUUUGCAACAUUUUGGAAGUCAUAAUGAUAUAAUGAAUAACUCUGGCUUUUCAAUGUUUUUCCUUUUCUAGACACUAUUGUUUUUAGCCCGAGAUUAAAUAUCUGGAAGAUUUCAUGAUUUUUAAGACACAAAAAAGUCACAAAUUGAAGAUACAGCAGCUGUAUUGGGAUGUGCUGGAAGAUCUCUAUUGCUUCAGAUACAUCCAACCUUUUGAAACUUUCGGUGGAACAUGUGCCUUUAAAGAAAAACCUCAAUUCAUUUGAAGUUCAUUUGAUUUUCAAAAGAUAAAGUCAGAUAAAAACUGAUUGAAAUUUGGCAAUUUUUUGCAUCAUACCAAUGUUAGUGGGUAAUAUCUCCAGCAUAUCAGAUGAUGAUUUCCAGUAUUCCAGAACCAUGUCAUCUGUACUGAGAUCUGUAUCAUAUGUUUAUGCCACACUUUUUUGUUGUUUAUCAAUCUUGUAAUGCUAAAUGCAAGAUCAAAAUUGAUAUCACUUAAGGAGUAUAAAAUGUACUAUAUUCUCUUUUUCUCAAUAGAACUAAAAUCAGCGAUGGUUUAGUUUUAACUCAUGGCAUACAUAUUUCUCUCAUCUUUUUCCAAUUGCAAAUGGUCAGGAUGAUUUCACUAAUUGAAUCAGAAAUCGUUAAUCAUAUUUUCGCUAUAAAAACAGUUGGGCAUCUUCACAAUUUUUUUGUCCAUGAAAUAUUUAAAAAUAUUUCUUAAAAAUUCUACAAUUAUUGCUUUCAUGUUUGAAAUUGUCAUGUGUGAAAAAAUGUAAACCAGAUAACAACACCUCACAAAAGCUUUCUUUUUACAAGCCCUUUUAACAGUAAUUGAAACAUUUAUCUGAUUUUCACCUUUGUAUGAAAAAAAUAUGUUCUUAUUCAUAUUUCGCCUUCGGUCUCAAGUAAUAAAUUAGCUUAACUUCUCUAUGAGGGGUGAAGCUUACAUGUAAUAUCUCUGUUUAAAGAAAAAAACUAUAGCUGGCCAGUGACCUUGACCCUAGUAUAUAAGCACCUGUUCCACAAUAACUUGUCAUUAUUUUUCUAGAGGGGUGAAGUGAACACUUCACUUGAAUUCGUUUUAGUUAAUUUAUUUUUAUUUUAGAUUUAGGGGAAAGUUACUAAAGUUACAUUUAACUUGUGUACGAUGUACGACAAGUUCUAAUGUUAUUUUGUUAAUUAGAAAUAAUAAUUCCUCAAUUGUCUACGAUGUAUGACAAGUGUUGAUGGAAAUGAAUUUAAAUUUCUUGUCUACGAUGUAUGACAAGUGUCGAUGGAAAUUAAUUAAAUUUUUUUUAUUGUCUACGAUGUAUGACAAUUUUAUAUAUUCAUUAAGUUUUUGCCUUAGUACGAUGUACAGCACAUUUGUUUCUUAAUUCAUACACCUGUUUGUUAAACAGGUAGAUAUUUAAAAGUAUUUCUAUUCACCUGAAGGUCGUGAGUACUCUUCAGAAUUUACACGUGUUUUACCUGCACAGGUACACAUUAUUUUAUUACAAUGGCUGAAUUUGAUUAUGCAAAUGUAUUGCUUUUGCAAGAUGUAUAGAAUUAUGUUUACACUUACAAGGGUGAUGGCUAUGAUUUUCAUCAUCUCAGUUGUUUUAGAAAUUAAAGAUGAUAAAUUUAAUAGGAAAACAAGAGGUAUUUUGAAUAAAUCCUCUUCUUAAACAGUUAUAAAACCUAGUAGUUUUAUAAAAGAUCAUAAUGGCAUUGCAAUUGGAAAUAAUUGACAAAGCAACAGAACGAGUCAAAAGUAAGUUUUUAAAUCUAGUGCUACUUGUAUAGCUUCAAAAUCUCCUUGAUUUGUGAAUUUUUCUUAAGAUAGUGCUGUUGAGAUUUAAGAUAGGCAUGUACAUUUGUAUACAUAUUGAUGCAUUGACUCAUUUUUAUUAAUGUAGUAAAGAACAUGUAUGAAUCAUGAGGUUUGAGACAGUUUCUCUGCCUUCAACUCAAGCAGAGUUUGUAGAGAAACCUGCUGCUUUAUUCGAAUUUUGCCAUUAGAGGCUUACUUUAAUGAAGAUUUAGUUCUAAUUUUGAUCUGAACUACUGUAAUGAUACUGUUCAUGUACCUCCUUUUGGAGUUUGUGCCAUGGCUGAUGAUAGUCCAGCCGGAACUGAAUUUUGAUACGUCUUUUGUUCCUGCAUUAAGGUUUUCAGAAGCCUUUAAGGCUUCUCUAAAUGAGAUUAAUGGUCCAUUAUCUCAUCCUGUUUGUUGAACAGUUUAAUCAUGAUUUUGCUUGGAAAAUCCCAAAAUUGUUUAAAAAGGCAGAAAACUGUGUAAGUUUUCUUCUGGACUUUCUGUGACUGUUAAUAAUACUACCAUGUCAGUAAAUAUCAAAUCAGGAAAAUAUCAAGUUCAUAGAGGAGUAAUACUAUCACCCUGAGAACUGUGAGAAUCCUAGUGUGUCUAGGAUAAAUAACAAGAUUGAAAUGGCACUGCCUAGACAGGCCCACUAUGUGGUUUCAAAGAUGCAGGAAACCCAGAGAUACUUUAUUAAGGGGUUGAUCAUCACCCCUAUUGUUGAGGAUUUUAUUGUAAAAUUCUAUUUGUUUGUUUGACCAUGGGUUUCUAUUUUAACGCAUAGGAGAUGCUCAGAAAUAUCUAGAUGAUAAAACUUAUUUGUAAUUCUGAUGUGAUAGUUGAUUUAUUACGUUUUUAGUUAUGAUUGCAUGAAGCAAACUUGGUGAUUAUACAAAGAUUCUAAAGCAAAUUCUAGAUUCCUUGGAAGAGGUUCCAGGUCUAGCAAUUAUUUUACUCCCAGCUGUUAUGGGAAAGGCAAUAUCAGUCUUUUAACUGCGGAGGCUCUGUUGGUCAACAGGGCGUAUACUAGUAGGCAAUUCCCUUCAUUGAGAGGAAGAGGUUUCCCAAAAGGGAACAGAGAAUCUCAAAGAGGUCACAUUUCUCAACCAGUUGCUAUAUACAGUAGAUAACUUAAAUAUUAUGAUUUGGAAAAUGUUACUAAUGGUCUAUUGAAAUUAGAUUUAUUAAGAAAUGGUUAUAAAAUUAUUUUUAAUGAUGUACCACAUAUUUGAAUAAAAUACAUUUCACCUUUCAUAAGGAUGAAAUAAUUUCAGAAGUCCAAAAAUUGAUAGCUAAGGGAGCUAUUUAAGAGGUUGAUCGAUCAUUGGAAAAUCAGUUUAUUUCCUAUAUUUUCUUAGUUCCUAAGAAAGAUGGGUCUUCAAGGCCUGUUACCUAUUUGAAAAAUUUCAAACAAACUUAGCUUGUGGCUAAUCAGCAUUUGGAGCAGGACCAUUUAUCUUUUGUUUAGAUGUAAUUCUUAGGGAUGAUUAUCUAUAUAUAUAUAGAGAGAGAGAGCUAACAUCUAUAGAUCUCACAGAUGCAUAUUUAAGUAUCAUUUAUGAUUAUAUCACAAUUUUCCUGAUUCAUGUGGAAAGGACAUUGAUAUGAUAUUUAUGUUCUUUGUUUUGGAUUGGCUUCUGCAUCAAGAGUUUUUACUAAGGUUUUAAAACCUGUCUAUGUAUUUUUAUAAAAAUAAUGUCACUUGAAGUAUAUACAUGCUAUAGUUUAUACAUUGAUGAUUCUUUUAUUAUGGAUCAGAAUUUAGAUGGUUGUAUUGUGAAUACAGAAGAAGUGGUGCAAAUGCUUGAUAAGCUGUGCUUCGGAAUAAAUUUUGAGAAGUUGGUACUCAUUCCUUGGAAGCACAUUGUUUUCCUUUGUCUCAUUAUUGAUACUGAGCUAUUUAAGUUUUUUCUGACAGAUGAGAAAUGGUAAAAUUAUCUCCCUUGGGAAAUUCUUCUUAAAUAGAAUUGUGUAACUGUAUUAUAGAUGAUUUGCAUCAUAUAUUGGUCUUGUGGCACAUGCUUUUAAUGCAGUAUCUGUGGGAAAUGUUGCAGAAACAUGGCGAGAAAUAAUGUUGAAACACUGUAUAGUUGUUACAGUGUUUAUUAUCAUCAAUCUAUAGGUGAAAUUUUUAACAAUUUAAAUCAGAAAUUAAGAAUUGAUUUUAGACCCAUCCAAAUAAGUUUUUUGGAUUGGACCAGAUGCCUCAUUAGAAGGAUUUGGGAUCCAAAUUUGAAGAAAAUUUUUUGAUUUGGUAGAUGGAGCUUCUUUAAGAACAUGCGCUCAUUUCAUAUAGAUUUCUUAGAAUUGUUGGCUAUAUUUUUCUUUUGGAGAGAAAAUUUUUAGUCACAGAGAUUUUAUACAAUCAGAAAAUACAAUUUCAGUAGCAUUUAUUAUGCAAUAGGAGGUAUAACCUCUUUGUCACUUUUAAAACAUGCUUACUACAAAUAUUUCAUUAUUUGGGCUUGGUGUUCAAGAAAGAACAUUUUUUAUCACAGCUCUUUAUAUUCCUGGUAAGAAAAUUUUGAUGCUUAUCAUAUGUCUAAAAAAUUUACAGAUUCAACAGGAUGGCAAUUGAAAGAAGAUAUAUUUGUUUUGUUGUUAUCACGUUUUUCAUUUUCAAAAUCUGUAGAUAAUUGAAUUCGUUGUCUUUUGACCAACACACCUUCAGAGAUGUUUGUACUUUUCAUGGUCAGAUUUAAGACCUUAUAUUUCCCAUCUUUUUCAUUGUUGGGGAUAAUUAUAAAAGAAAAUUAUUAGUGAUAAAGUUCAGAAGGCUCUUUUGAUUAUUUCCUUUUGGUCUGCUCAGAGUUGUUUUUCUUUGCUAAGACCAAUUUUAAUUUAUUUGACAGUUAAAAGUUCUGCUAAACAUAAAGUUAGUAACAAUGUUACAUACUGAAAGAAUGCCUUUCCGUCAGGAAGAGAUUUGAUUUAACUGUGUAUUGUAAAAAGUAUAAGUGACCAACACCUGAAUGGUUGAUUGUGCGGUAGGGUAAAAAUGUGUGUAUUUAUUCAGAAAUCACUUUAAAUAUAAACAGGAGAUUUCAGAAUCAUUUGUAAAAUAUAUUUACACUUAUCUUGGAGAUCAUGCAUCUAUGAUCAAGCAUUAUCAAUAUUUUUUUGAGAAAUGUCAUUAUUUGGUGUGUUCAAAGAGAACCAAUUCCUUAUCACCAUCUAAAAAAGGAUGUUAUUGAUUAUUAAAAUUUUUUUGUAAAACACAAGCUUUUCAUAUUCAGCAUGUUUAAUGUGAAUUUUACUUGUUUUAUGUUGAAACAGACUUGAUCCUUUAAGAAGUAGCUAGAUGUUACUAAAUUUGUUUGUUUACUACAUGCAUAUGUGAAAGGUUGCCUUUUAAGCCUGAAUCUGCAAUUGAAGAGUUCGAUACUCUUUCACUAUGGAGAUGAAUUUAGUGCUAUUUUUUUUUAAGUUCUUUAUAUUCAUUAGAGGAUUUUACAUUGAAGACUGUCUUUUAUACUUGUGUCUUUAUUUGCCUUGACUACAACUGCCAAAAGUACAAUCUUUAUCAGCUGUAGAUUUACAUUCUAUGUUUUUCAUUCAGAGACAUGGCACUUUAUUUUUUCAUAUACAUGAGUUUUUGAAAAAUACUAGAUCUGUUAGUUAGUCUACCUAAUGAGGUGAUCAAGGGUUUUGAUAAACCAAAACUUUGUGUUGUUAAGACAAUGUUUUAUCAUGUUUUGUGUACAAAAUAUGUGAGAGAAUUCAUCUAAGUCUUUUUGUAAAGUUUAGAUAGUUAGAGAGAGUUCUAAUUUUAGCCGAGGUUUUAAGGUUUACUCAUUUAGAGGAACCUCUUCAUAAGUGCAUUUAGCUUCAGGAUGUUCUAUUAAAGACAUUAUGGCAACAGCUUAGUCUGGACAUAUGGUAAAACUUUUUAUAAGUUCUAUAAAAGGGAAAGUGAAUAAUAUCAGUACUAAAACACUUUUCAUCAGUUGUAGUACUGGAUGAUCUUGUGAUUUCUAUGCUUUAUUAAAUGUUGGCAUUUAUAUAAAAAUUGUUUUUAGUUUGUGUCUACACUUUAAACAAGCUAAUUUAUUACUUGAGACCGAAGGCGAAAUAUGAAUAAGAAUGUUCCUUCAUCCAAGCAUAUCUUGGAUGUGCAGGAUGAAGGUCAUUCUUAGAAUAUGAGCCUGAGGCUCGAAGUAAUUAAUUCCACCCUAGGGAUUAUCAGUCAGACCCACCCUUUUUCCAAUGGUUUUAUAUUGGUCGACACAAACUUGCUUUAAAUUAUGACAAGUUAUUGUGGAACAGGUGCUUAUAUACUAGGGUCAAGGUCACUGGCCAGCUAUAGUUUGUUUCUUUAAACAGAGAUAUUACAUGUAAGCUUCACCCCUCAUAGAGAAGUUAAGCUAAUUUAUUACUUUCGAGCCUCAGGCUCAUAUUCUAAGAAUGACCUUCAUCCUGCACAUCCAAGAUAUGCUUGGAUGAAGGAACAUUUUGAGCUAUGGUGCCCCCAAUGAUUUGACACAUCAUGACAUAUGAAGAUGCUAUCACAUGAAAUAGAUUUCUCCGACAAAUAUUCUUCAUUAAGCAGACUGCUGGGUUGACCACAAUUUAUGAGACGUUUGAAGAUCUUGGAGCAGUGAUGAAAUUAAGAAUUUUUCCCCUUCAGAUGAUCUUGACUUGAUAUAUAUGUAAAUUGUGACUUUUCUCUUCCUUUGUAUUAUAUUAUAUAGAUGGGUUAUAUGAUAUAGUUUUAUGAAAUUCAGAUUUUAAUGAAGAUUUGUUGUGAUUUAUAUCAAAGUAUGAUGCUGUUUAAUGAAACUUCAGAACUGCAGACCUCACAAUAAAAUAUAAUUAUCAAUCUCCAUAUAGCUAAUAAGUGAGAAAUGGAUAAAAUCUAUACUUAUAUCUGAAUAUUUUUUUUUAAAGCAAUUCUUAUAACAGGCAACCCUUGAACAUAGAAACUUUUAACACUUUUUCUCAGGAACAACGAAUCAUAACUUUCUGAAAAUUUGUACCAAGCUUCUUGUGAGCAUGAUAAUACUGUGUAGCAGUUGUACAUUUAUCUCUCCUCAACUUUCUGUUCACAGUGAUUGCAAGGGUAUCAUUAGUAAGAAACUGUAUAUCUUGUGUAUAUCUUGUCUAGAUUCGUUGCUGUAUCAUAUACAUUUAUAAGUAAGGUAAGAUAGUCUAAUUGAACUGCACUAUCAAUAUGUUUUAAUCAACCAUAACACUUUGUUUUUUGACAUGAUAGUUCAAUGACUUUAAUAAGAGGGCUUGAAUUUUGUUGAAAGUGAAUAAUCCUUAAAUGAAAAUUUACAAUUCAAACUAGAAGGACAUUAAAUUUCAAAAAUACAGUUUGAGACAAUCAAACAAGAUAUUACACAUAUAGUAAGUUAUAUACUUUUAGCAAUAUUGAGUGUCUUCUUAAGGACUUUUUAUUUAGGAUCCAAUAAUUGAAUGGUCGUGUAGCUGUAUUGUUUUUUGUAAAUUGUUUUGUUAUAAACUAGGCUUAAGUUUUCUCCUUUGAAUUGUCUGGAUGUUUUAUAGCUGACUAUACUGUAGAGGUUUUGUCCAUUGUUUAAGGCCAUGUGAUGACCUUUUAUGGCUAUAACUGCAUACAUCCUCAUUAUUUGAACUCUGGUGAAAUAUUUGUCUCAUUUGCUAUCAUACCAAAUCUCCUUAUCUUUCUAUUUAUGAAUAUGAUUGCUGUAUGUAUGAUCACUUGUAAGAUUACAAUAAAAAUGAGUCAUAUUGACCUUCAUUUUAAUAAUAAGCAUUAAAAUACAGAGGAAACUGAAAUGAAACAGUUGUCAACUUUGUUUAUAUGAAUGACUGAGUUUACAGUUCUAUAUUUAUAAGGUGCUUACUUUAGAUACAGUGUUAGGAGAAUGAGGAUAGGGGACAAUAAGAAUAAAUACAGGCAUUGAGAUUAAAUAAUAGGAAUAAAUACAAGCAUUGGGAUUAAAUAUCAUUUGUGUUUCUAACAGCUCUUGCCUUAUUAAUGUCCAGAAAUGACAAUCUUUGUGUCUAAGCUAUAAUUGCCUUUAUGUAUGCAUAACAGCGUUUAAAAUUAGUUGAAACUACAGGAAAUGCAGUAUUUUUAUUUAACAUAGUUUGAUUAUCAUAUACUUUGCUUAAGCUUAAAUCUAACCCUUUAUUGCCAAAUAAUAAGUUUAAUUGCUAUAAUCAUUUAUUGAUUUGGUCAAAAGUUUAUGCCAGAAAAACUCUACAAUCUGAAAUAAUUGUACAAGCAAUUUUAAAAGUCUGUUGAAUGUUUAUUACUAAUGCAAGUCUAGGCUUUAAGUGCUUGAUGCCAUGACACAAAACAAUAAAUAUUUGUAAAUUGUGCUAUUAUUUUAUUUCAGAAUCUAAGCACUGCUGUUAAAGGUACCUGUCUCUAAGAAGUAUUGCUAGUUAGAAGACAUCAGUACCAUGUACCAUGGUAUAAGCAAUUGGAUUAUAUUAGAUGGACAAAUCUGUUGAUUCAAAGUACUGGGUAUUUUACUUUAUAAUAUCACCAUUGGAAGAAAAAUUUAUUCAAUUUCAUAUUGUGAACUUUGCUCUCAAAUGCAACCAUACAAGCCAUAAAGGAGAAGUUGGGAUCAUGCUUCUUUUUUGGCCCUUGAACUAAAAAAUCAGUGCUUAUAAGGGUUUCAAACUCUUUUUCUAAAGCAUAAAAAAACUACCAAAACAGCCUCAUUGUGAGAUCUUAUCAUUUCUUUUAAGUUAUGUACCCAAAAAGAUAUUUUUCUUCAUAAUGCAUGUAUAGAAAAUCUUUUUGGAUGAACUUUUUACUCAUAUGUAUUGAUAUAUUUUGACCAUUCUAGAUUAAAAACAUGAAUAUCAACAUAUCAAGUCAUAGUUACAUCUCAAGUCACAUUCCUACACUAAAGUCUCCUAAUUUGACAAACUCAAUCAUUUAGAUAUAGAAUAAUCAUAAUUAUGAAAGGCUUGAAUAUGUUUUUCUUUUAUGCAAUUUCAGGGAAUAAUUAAUAUGCCUCCUCCUUUGCAGUUUUAAUCAGUAAAAAAAGGAUCUAAUUACUUUAUUUACUAGCGGUUAACAUUCAUGAAUUUGUUUGGGUAGUUUGUCUUAUUAAACGGAUACCCCUCAUAUCCUUUUGAUCAAAUUAUUCAUAACAAGGCCUAAGGUACAACAAAUUUGAAAUAUUUUUGUGGUUUAUAUUACACUUUGUAUUAUUACUAGUUCAAUGACUCGGCUUUUUUCACUGCAGUUGAUACAAAUACAAAAUGUUUCAUAUUAUUAUCUGUUUUUUUCCAAUUAUUUUAUUUAUUAAAUGCUAUGCAAUACUUUAAAUAGCCUACUAUCAGAUAUAUUUCACUUAAUGCCCCGCCAAGACAAAAAGACAAUCACAAAGAAAAAUAUUCCAUUUAGGCUUUCUUUUAUUUCCCUCGUGUGAAAAUCAAUAUAUUGAUAACUGCACAAUGAAAUGCAAGUUACAUACUUUUUGAUUUGAGUAUUGUAUUUUGGACCCCCUGUAAACUAUAUUGCUCUGCAGGAGAUAUUCUAUACGAGAACAGUGUCUCAACCCCAACACCUCCUAAGUGGAGGGAAUCCGUUUACACACCUGUCAAUACUUUCACCUUAAGACAAUGAUUUUGGUAAGGGGUGGAUAACUCUAUUUAGAAGAGUAUCUAUAAUUGCUGUCUUGUUUGUCAAGUUGUAAAUAUUAUAAUUGACUGGUGUAACAAUAGAAAAGAAUGCAAGUAUACAUUUGAGGGUUCUUUUAGAAAGAGGGUUCUGUAUGAUCUUUUGAUGUGUUUCAUAAGUUUAUGACUUGCAAUUUCUCAUCUAACUUUAAUCAAACUUUGCAUCUUGUCAUUAAUUGAUAUGAAAACACAAAAGAAAAUGUCCAUGAAAUUGGUUAUUUCUAAGUUGGCAAAUAAUGAUAUGUCAAAUUUUCAAAUGACUGAGAUGUUUGAAAUACUUGUAUUCUGUAGGGAAACUUUAACUAUUGUUUGUCACUACAUACAUGUUGUUAAUUUUCAUGUUUGUAUUAAGUCACAUGUAAUUCAUUCUUUGAAGCAUUUAAGUCAACCACAAUUGUAUCUCAAAUAUCCAUCUUUACAUCAUGUAUUACCCAUUUUUAAUUAGAAAUAAAAAUGAAUCUGCCCUUCUUGAUAUUAUAAUGUUUUCUGAUUUUAAGUGUACUUUUAUUGUUCCAAUUUUAUCCCUUUAUAUUUCUGUUUCAGGGUGAUGCAAAAGAUGAAAUUGAGAAAAGAUUGGAAGUUAGUUGUAAUGUAAUUAAUACCUGAGUAAACCAUAGAAUCAAAA
Molecule: long non-coding RNA, 19857 nt
Filed under: Mytilus galloprovincialis (Mediterranean mussel)
Lineage: Eukaryota; Metazoa; Mollusca; Bivalvia; Mytilida; Mytilidae
Source: RNAcentral